UACGGAGGGGGCUAGCGUUGUUCGGAAUUACUGGGCGUAAAGGGCGCGCAGGCGGCUGCUCAAGUCAGGCGUGAAAGGCCUGGGCUCAACCCGGGAAUUGCGCUUGAGACUGGGCUGGCUUGAGUGCGGGAGAGGUAAGUGGAAUUCCGAGUGUAGAGGUGAAAUUCGUAGAUAUUCGGAAGAACACCAGUGGCGAAGGCGACUUACUGGACACAUACUGACGCUGAGGUGCGAAAGCGUGGGGAGCAAACAGG
This 254-nucleotide ribosomal RNA is filed under the name uncultured bacterium. RNAcentral's name for it is "partial 16S ribosomal RNA". It matches the Rfam family "Bacterial small subunit ribosomal RNA", at positions 524 to 776 of the family's 1533-position model. The record is from RNAcentral.